Mus musculus (house mouse) is the source of this 3665-nucleotide long non-coding RNA. RefSeq annotates it as predicted gene 14206. The transcript is spliced from 5 exons. The record is from RefSeq and is a predicted model, not a curated record. NCBI's taxonomy places the organism in Eukaryota, Metazoa, Chordata, Mammalia, Rodentia, Muridae.
AUUGGAGUAGGAGGCCCUUUCUCUCUAAUACCCUAUUAGUCUUUCUGACCCUAGCCCUGGCCCCUUGCCCAUAACUUUAUCACAUCCCACACAUCCCAGCUGGGCCCAGAGAUAGUGAACUAGCCUUUACUACCAGGGGAUUCAAGGCUGAUCACAGUUCCGUGUCUGGAACUUCAUCCUUCCAUCUCUCGCACAGACUUGUCCAGCUCACGACAGGAAAACGGAGCAAGAAAAUUCCCCCCAGAACUGCCUAGUCCAGUUCCUGAUACUUCAGAGGUGGGGAAAUCGAGGCCUAAGUAGGGGCAGUGAUUUGCCCAAAGUCACAGGUCCAGAUCUGAUGUCUGGGGCCCACCUAUAUCCGGGAACUGGGUCCUAGGUGGCCUGAGGUGUGAAGUCAGUCAGUCAGUCGUCAGCCCUAGAGUGGGGACAUACAUCUCAGAGGCCCAGUCCCGCCAGAUCUCUCUGGACCCCUCCAGCCCACCCCAGCGGCAGAAGAGAUCCACCCUUCCCCCAGCACUUGACCCAGCCAGGCUUUCUCCCUAGAGCCAACCAAGGCUAGGUGCAAGUCUGAAUCGGUCCUGGGAGCUUCGAGUCCCAGCUGGCCCUCCCUGCCCCGGGGCUCAGGGAGAGGGAUGUGAGCUCCACACCCCAAAUCCUUCUGCCUUCCCUCCCCACCCACACUUCUGCCUGGGGCCCAAACAUGGCAGAGAGCCAGGGAGUCAGGGAGCCAGGCCCUCACCCUCUGGCCUUGGUAACCAAGGCACAACACCCAACACUGGAGACUGUUUGUCCUGCCAACGCCACACCCAACCAACCUAGGCCCGCAGUUCAAUCAGCUGGGGGAAGAGGCUUAGCUCAGGGUGGGAUAGGGAAACAGUGGACGAUGGGCUCAAGGUCCAUGGCCUGGAGACUCUCACCCUCCUACCACACUCUCCAGGGGCAUAGAAUACCUGGCUGUGGUCUCAGUAGCUUGGGCCCCUCCUCUAGCUCCAGCUUCCAGCCCUGAAUCCCUGAUUCAGCUAAAGGGCCUGAAUGGAGGGUCCAAGUGUGAUCCAUAGCAGAAGAGCAGAGGCCGGAGAGCAGUCCCUUGGCCGGAGCUGGGAGGAGGUGGGGCAGAAGCAAAGACACAAUGGAUGAAGGUGACCCAAAGGGACUGUUCAGAUGGAAAAGAAGACCCACAGACAACAUGGGGAAACCACUCACACAGCGAGUGUGCGGAGGCUGAGCCAUGCUUGUGAACCAUGUCAUCAGCUGGCAAGGAGAAGACAGGCAAAGGUUGCUUCGGUCACGGUGUUCCAUCACAGCAAUAGAAACCCUAACAAAUCCAGGACGGAUGCUUCGUGUCACCCAGGAGUUAGGAGUGAAAACUGAGGUGACCAAGGAGCCCUUUGACGUUGGCAAAGGUUUCUUCUCAGCCUUCGUUCCAGUCACUUCCCACAUGUUCUGCAAGCCCAGACAUUCCCCAGAGGGGUUCCAGGAAGCUCUCUCUCCACAAAGCUCUCCCUGGAAGCAGCCUGGAUCCCAGCGAGGCGGGGGAAGCACUUUGUCAUGUAGACGGCUGUGGAAGAAGUGAACGGAAGCCAUCAGCAGAUUCUGCCUUGCCUGGCCCAGGGGACUGUAGAUCCUGGUUCUCAGGCCUGACACCCCAUAGACACCACCCUGAAAGCUCUAGAGCAGCCUGUGGGUCAUGACCCCCCCUUUUGGUGUGUGUGUGUGUGUGUGUCACCUAUUAGCUAUCCUGCAUUUCCAAUACAUACAUUAUGAUUCAUAACAGAAGGAAAAUUAUGAAGUAGCAAAAAAUAAUUUUGUGGUUGGAGGUCACCACAACAUGAGGUAUUAAAGGGUCACUAUGCUAGGACGGUUGAGAAUUGCUGCUCUAGGGCAUCAGGGACUUCAGUCUCUGUCUGGUGGCUCAGCCUCACUCUCCUCAACCUCAGGCUCUCUGAAGAGGCGCUCAGCCCAAGGGCCUGCGCAUCUGGAAUUAUCUUCCUUGUGUAUGGCUGGCUCCUUCCUCAUCUCACCUUAGCUGUAGAUGGGGACCUCCCUAGACUUGGAGAACACGUUAUUCUCGGAUUUGUUGAUCUUACCCAACCUUUCCAGCAGACAGAUUGCUCCAUUAGGAUAGAAAAGCGGGCUCUUACGUCACCACCCGAUUUCCAGUGUCAGGGACAGCACCCAGCACAGAGCGCAUGCUUAGCCAAUAGAAAGACAAGCUGCAUCUAACAGGCUCCUUUCCCCAGCACUCUGGUUGCGUCAUUCCAGGAUGCUGACCCAGCUUCCGGCCUUCAGGUAUUCCCCAAACACACCUGGCAGGUCUUCACCUCUGCCUGGCUCGUUGCUUCUGCCCUGGCUUUGGAACCCAGCCUCCCAGUCAGUCCCUCCCUCUGAAACUGCUCUGUGCCUCCGUGUGAGUGACUGGCUCCUUCCUCACCCUGCCAAGGUGCUGGUCCACACAUACCUUUGUCUGUCAGGGCACAGCGCUAUUGUACUCAAAUGAAAUGUCUGUCUGUCUUUUGCUCACGGCUGGCUCUCGUGAAGGGCAGGGCUGGGCUGACUCAGGACUGUAUUCUGAGCCAGCCCAGCCCAGUGUCUGCCACACAAUGAGCAGGAUGAAUGGGUGCUGACUGAAGUCUAACCUUGGGCUCUCACUGUAUCUAUUCAGUUGACAGGUCACCACCGGCAGAGCACUUAGCACAUGCAGGGUACUGAGCUAGGCGGUGGGACCAGAGAGCAUCUUUUGGCUGCAAAGGAUUGCCAGUGUAGAAGAAGAACAGACCUCCUUGAGAAAUCUAGUACAAGUGAGAAGGGUGUGAGGACUAGAUUGGUUUCUUUUUGCUGCUAAGACAAAUGAUCACCCCAGAGUCUUAAACACACACACACACACACACACACACACACACACACACACACACACACACACACACACUCACACACACACACCCUUUCAUGACUGGAAGAUAGAAGCCCACAUCCCGGUGUCAUGAUGGCUGUCUUUCUCUGGGGACCCCGGAAGAAUCUGGUCCUUGCCUUUUCCAGCUGCACCGUGCUUCUGGGAUCCUCUACCCAAGUCUCCUGAACCACUGACAUCUGCUUCUGCGUCUGCGCUGCCUGACUCUGCCUCCCAACUCCAGGACCCUCGUGAUGACGCUUGAGUCCCAUUUGCAGAGUCCUCUUUGCUUUAUGAGGCAUAGAUUCCUCAAGUCCCCAGGGUCAGAGCAGGUCUUUCCCUAGCUCCCUUCCUGGGUCCUUUGUGUCAUCCCAGCUCUCCUUGCCUGCUUCCCCUGUCAGUAAGGCUGGUGAGCCAUAGUGAGGAGGUCUGGGGAGUCGGCAGUGGACCAAUGGCUGCUAUCCUGAGCUUGGGCAGAAGCACCCGACACACCAGCCCUGGACAACGUGAGGCCAAAGAGGAAACCAGCUCGUCCACCAUCAAGGAAACUUCUCUUUGUAAUAGAGGGAGACCAUUACAGUAACCGUAAUUAAUUAAAAUGCAGAGUUGUGGGGUGCAGUCCCAAAGAACACAUCUACAACGUAACUUGCCUACCUAAGGCUCAGGGAACAUUGUGGAAGAGGGGACAGUAAAAACUGUAAGAGCCAGAGAAACACCGAGCUUGCUUGAUUGUGAUUCCUAGGAAUUCCAGAAGCUGCACCCAGAAACAUUGCUCACU